AUACGUAGGGUGCAAGCGUUAAUCGGAAUUACUGGGCGUAAAGCGUGCGCAGGCGGUUUUGUAAGACAGUGGUGAAAUCCCCGGGCUCAACCUUGGAACUGCCUUUGUGACUGCAAGGCUAGAGUACCGCAGAGGGGGAUGGAAUUCCGCGUGUACAAGCGAAAUGCGUAGAUAUGCGGAGGGACCCCGAUGGCGAAGGCAAUUCCCUGGGGCUGUACUGACGGUCAUGCACGAAAGCGUGGGGAGCAAACAGGAUUUGAUUCCCUGGUAGUUCACGCCCUAAACGAUGUCAACUGGUUGUUGGGUCUUCAUUGACUCAGUAACGAAGCUAACGCGUGAAGUUGACCGCCUGGGGAGUACGGCCGCAAGGUUGAAACUCAAAGGAAUUGACGGGG
This 395-nucleotide ribosomal RNA is filed under the name uncultured bacterium. RNAcentral's name for it is "partial 16S ribosomal RNA". It matches the Rfam family "Bacterial small subunit ribosomal RNA", at positions 523 to 918 of the family's 1533-position model. The record is from RNAcentral.